This 122-nucleotide non-coding RNA is filed under the name Chloropicon mariensis. The record is from RNAcentral. Lineage: Eukaryota; Viridiplantae; Chlorophyta; Chloropicophyceae; Chloropicales; Chloropicaceae.
AGGAAGGAAGUAAAGAGACGACAGGAAAGAAACGAAAGGCCCUGGACCGGGUUUUUUUUUUUUUUUUUUUUUAAAACACUGUGCUAACGAUUUUGACAAUUCUAAAAUUGAAUUUUGUAAUU